Molecule: long non-coding RNA, 2030 nt
Organism: Pan troglodytes (chimpanzee)
Lineage: Eukaryota; Metazoa; Chordata; Mammalia; Primates; Hominidae
Exons: 3
Source: RefSeq, a predicted model, not a curated record
CAGAUGAAGAUGCUGGGGACCCAAGUGGUUGAGUCACACAGCUAGUAAGUGAAGAGGCAGCAGUCAAACCCAGGAAAGGAAACUGAUGCCGCUUCCAGGACCAACCAAGACUGGACUCUCUGUCACCAGUAUAGACCCAAAUCACACUGUCUCCUUCAACGUUGGACCUGGCAUUCAGCCAUGCAUGGAUGGUUCAAAACUGAGAUCCAAAGCUCAAAGGAAACCUUUCUGAUGUCAUAACUGUUUGGCAGCUACCUGAAUAGCUCUGAGGGCAUUAAGCCAAGCAAGUAGAGGUGAAGCUAUCUCCUGGCCUGCCCCCAGCCCACCAUUGCCCGUGCCUUUCUUACCUGCUGCCCAUCAACUCUAAAAAAGGCUUGAGCAAGAAGGACAUGCUGGGUUAACUAUGAUCCAGCGACUUGUCUUUGUGUCUUACAUGUCUUUGCCUUUGGUUUAUUGAUUAAUGUCUGAUAUUAACAGAACAGGAGAUACCUCUGUGCUCCUGGAAAUUGAGUCUGUGUCUACUGAGAAUAAUAUAGUGAAUGAAAAUCAGUCAUCUGGGGAGCCACAGGACAAGUGGAAAGCACAAGAAAAGCACUUGGCUUCUCAGAAAUUGGGAACCAGGGGAUAGAAAGCCACUGCACCAUCAGGCAGGGGUAUGAAGGCACCUAGACUGCAAUGCAACGAGACUCAAGAGGCAGACAGCUGGUUCAGUGAGCCAGAGAGUGGAGGAGGACAUUAGGUUUUCCCAAGAAAGAAACCGAGGAUACUGGAAGGUAUAUGCUGACUUCCGAAGGGCAGGGUGAGACAGGACUCUUGGCCAGGGAAAUUUUCACUUUGGUUAUUGUCAACAAGUAAUGUUAAUUGGGACAACAGAUACCUCUGUACCCCAGAGUCAGAGAGCUAUGCCACAGCCCAUGGCUUAUCCCUAUGGGCCUAGAAGAAAAAAAAAUGAUGUCAGGGAAGAGAACCCUGUGAGAGAAAAGAAGAAUUGUAUUUAAUGGCAUUGAAAGAAAAAAAUUAGACCUUUUUUUCCUGGGUCUAAGCUCUUCUAAGAUGUUCACAAGAGUAGAGGUCUCUCUGCUUGCACAACUCCCAUUCUCACAGGUACGAGUUUUUUCUACAGAGACUGGUGACCCACGCUGAUAUGCAGCCCUGUCCCACUUUUCCAGCCCUCUCUGCAGCAAAUCUCAGGUUCCACCAACACUUACUCUGCACCUGUAUCCAGGAUCUUGGGCUGUCAGAUAUGAUGCUGUAAGUCAUUGUUGCUGCCUUACACCAGUAGAACCCUGAAUCUUUACUCCACAUGGCAGUAAUCUGGAACUUCGGGGAGAGACUCCAGCCUAAUCCCAGGGUCUGGUCAUCUCUGAAGAAGCGGAAACGGAGCGGGACAUCUGACCUCUCUAGAGAGAGCCGGGUCUCACAGGUCAGGGUCACUGGGCUCCCGCUGAUGGGCUGGAAGGAGCUGGCUCUCAGCACUGGACGUGUAAAUGGCUCUAGAGAGAAGAAUCACAACAGUCCCAGAGCAAUGAGGCUGGAACUGCUUUGGAGAAAAACACACUUCAAGCAGCAGCACAUCCAAAACAGGCAAAGAAAGGAAUGCCAUUGAUCCCUAGCUUCCUUCGGCCCAAAGCACUACUAUACUUCCUCUGCUCCUUGCAGGAAUGUGUCCUGUGGUUUAGUGGUAUUCCAGUCCACCCUUUUCCUCCUGUUCUAUCUCUAUGACCCCAAGGAAUCUCCUUUUGACCAACUCACUUCACAAAAUAAUGAACGCUUUACCUUGGACUUGGAUUUUGACUCUAUUGGAAGAAACUGGGCAACAACUUUCCUUGUAUCCAGUACAGUGAUAUGCACCAUUGUCCUUGAGACGUGCAUGAGGAAUACGGAAGUCAGUUCUUUUAUUAAGGAAUGCCAGGACAUUAUCAUUCUUGUAAAUAGUAUUAUUCAGUGUUACUUCCACCUUUGCCCGGCACCUCAGAACCACAGAGUCUCCUUCAAACACAGAAAGUGGAGCUUGCAGGAUCAGCGAAGCU